UACGGAGGGUGCAAGCGUUAAUCGGAAUUACUGGGCGUAAAGCGCGCGUAGGUGGUCAAGUCAGUCAGAUGUGAAAGCCCAGGGCUUAACCUUGGAAUUGCAUCUGAUACUGCUUGACUAGAGUAUGGUAGAGGGGUGUGGAAUUUCCUGUGUAGCGGUGAAAUGCGUAGAUAUAGGAAGGAACACCAGUGGCGAAGGCGACACCCUGGACCAAUACUGACACUGACGCUGAGGUGCGAAAGUGUGGGGAGCAAACAGG
RNAcentral lists this unclassified non-coding RNA (259 nucleotides) under uncultured Oceanospirillales bacterium. RNAcentral describes it as "contains 16S-23S intergenic spacer region". It matches the Rfam family "Bacterial small subunit ribosomal RNA", at positions 524 to 776 of the family's 1533-position model. Lineage: Bacteria; Pseudomonadati; Pseudomonadota; Gammaproteobacteria; Oceanospirillales. The record is from RNAcentral.